This is a non-coding RNA of Sus scrofa (pig), 10461 nucleotides long. The record is from RefSeq and is a predicted model, not a curated record. Lineage: Eukaryota; Metazoa; Chordata; Mammalia; Artiodactyla; Suidae.
CCAGAUGUACGUGGCCGCGGGAAGUCGAUCCAGGGUUCCAAUUCUGAUGGUCUAGGCAAGGAAAGACAGGAGAGCCUGUCUUUGACACCCAGCUGUCACAGCGAAAACCUACUGUGUGCCAGGUGCCGGAGAUACAAAAAAACCAUGGGAUGCUUGUGUUCUAGGUGCUUUAUAUGUAGCAAGACACAGUCUCCGUCCUGAAGACACUCGCAGGUCACUCGAGGUUGCAUCAGGUGGGGGCAAACACGCAUUCUCCCAACAGUCUGAGAAUGCAGAACACUUCGGAGAUUAGGCCGGCCCUGCAGGGGAAGACAGACACGCCCUCUCCGAAGGGCAGACCCGCCUCGAGAAGGGCGGACCCGGGCAGGGCCGGCAGCCGGGCCCUCGCCCGACCCCCGCGAAAGCGGCCCAGCGCAGCGCCCGCUCCUCACGUGUCCCUCCCGGCCCCGGGGCCGCCUCACGUUCUGCUUCCGUCCGACCCUUCCGACUUCCGGUAAAGAGUCCCCAUCCCGCACCUCCGCGCCCACCCGGCAUCGCCACGCGGCACCUCUGUGUGCCCGGCCCCCGAUGCGCUCGGCGGCCGCAGCUCCUCGGGGCCCCGCAGCGGCCAUCGAGCCUCGUCGCUUCGCCGCGGCCAGGUGGCCCGGGAGGCGCUCGCUCCCGCGGCCGGCGCGGCGGGGCGGGCGGGGCGGCAGCGGCGGGGCUCCAAGACCGUAUCCCUCCGCCGCCCCUCCCCCGCCCGGCCCCGGCCCCCCUCCCUCCGGGCAGCGCUCACCUCCCUCCGCCUCAGACUGUUUUGGUAGCAACGGCAACGGCGGCGGCGCGGCCCGGCCCGGCUCCCGGCGGCUCCUCGGUUUCGGCGGGCCUCCCCGCCCCUUCGUCGUCCUCCUUCUCCCCCUCGCUCGCCCGGGCGCCCCCCCGGCCGCGCCAACCAGCGCCUCCUCGCUCGGCGCCCGCGCGUCCCCGCCGCGCUCCGGCGUCUCCUCGGCGCGCCCGGCUCCCGGCUGUCCCCGCCCGGCGUGCGGGCCGGUGUAUGGGCCCCUCACCAUGUCGCUGAAGCCCCAGCAGCAACAACAGCAGCAGCAGCAGCCCACGGCCGCCAAUGCCCGCAAGCCUGGCGGCAGCGGCGGCCUUCUCACGUCGCCUGCAGCCGCGCCGUCGCCGACCUCGUCCUCAGUCUCGUCGUCCUCAGCCGCGGCUUCCUCCUCCUCUACGGUGGCGGCGGCUAGCGCAGGCGGCGGGCGGCCGGGCCUGGGCAGAGGUCGAAACAGUAGCAAAGGACUGCCUCAAUCUACGAUUUCUUUUGAUGGAAUCUAUGCAAAUAUGAGGAUGGUUCAUAUACUUACAUCAGUUGUUGGAUCCAAGUGUGAAGUACAAGUGAAAAAUGGAGGUAUAUAUGAAGGAGUUUUUAAAACAUACAGCCCUAAGUGUGAUUUGGUACUUGAUGCUGCACAUGAGAAAAGUACAGAAUCCAGUUCGGGGCCAAAACGUGAAGAAAUAAUGGAGAGUAUUUUAUUCAAGUGUUCAGACUUUGUUGUGGUACAGUUUAAAGAUAUGGACUCCAGUUACGCACGAAGAGAUGCUUUUACUGACUCUGCUAUAAGUGCUAAAGUGAAUGGUGAACACAAAGAGAAGGACCUGGAACCCUGGGAUGCAGGUGAACUCACCACCAAUGAGGAACUGGAGGCUUUGGAAAAUGAUGUUUCUAAUGGAUGGGAUCCCAAUGAUAUGUUUCGAUAUAAUGAAGAAAAUUAUGGUGUAGUGUCUACAUAUGAUAGCAGUUUAUCUUCGUAUACGGUGCCCUUAGAAAGGGAUAACUCAGAAGAAUUUUUAAAACGAGAAGCACGGGCAAACCAGUUAGCAGAAGAAAUUGAAUCAAGUGCCCAGUAUAAAGCCCGGGUGGCCCUGGAAAAUGAUGAUAGGAGUGAAGAAGAAAAGUACACUGCAGUUCAGAGAAAUUCCAGUGAACGUGAGGGCCACAGCAUAAACACUAGGGAAAAUAAAUAUAUUCCUCCUGGACAAAGAAAUAGAGAAGUCAUAUCGUGGGGAAGUGGGCGACAGAAUUCACCGCGUAUGGGCCAGCCUGGGUCAGGCUCCAUGCCGUCAAGAUCCACCUCUCACACUUCAGAUUUCAACCCGAAUUCUGGUUCAGACCAAAGAGUAGUUAAUGGAGUUUUUAUACUUUCCUUCAUAUCAUUUGUUCUGUCAGGUGUUCCCUGGCCAUCGCCUUGCCCAUCUCCUUCCUCUCGCCCACCUUCUCGCUACCAGUCAGGUCCCAACUCUCUUCCACCUCGGGCAGCCACCCCUACACGGCCGCCCUCCAGGCCCCCCUCGCGGCCAUCCAGACCCCCGUCUCACCCCUCUGCUCAUGGUUCUCCAGCUCCUGUCUCUACUAUGCCUAAACGCAUGUCUUCAGAAGGGCCUCCAAGGAUGUCCCCAAAGGCCCAACGACACCCUCGAAAUCACAGAGUUUCUGCUGGGCGGGGUUCCAUUUCCAGUGGCCUAGAAUUUGUAUCCCAUACCUCACCAAGUGAAGCAGCUGCUCCUCCAGCAGCAAGGACUAGUCCCGCAGGGGGCACAUGGUCUUCAGUGGUCAGCGGGGUUCCAAGAUUAUCCCCUAAAACUCACAGACCCAGGUCUCCCAGACAGAAUAGUAUUGGAAAUACUCCUAGUGGGCCAGUUCUUGCUUCUCCCCAAGCUGGUGUUAUUCCAACUGAUGCUGUCCCUAUGCCUUUACCAGCUGCAUCUCCUACGCCUGCCAGUCCUGCAUCCAACAGAGCUGUUACCCCAUCCAUUGAGGCUAAAGAUUCCAGGCUUCAAGAUCAGAGGCAGAACUCUCCUGCAGGAAAUAAAGAAAAUAUGAAGUCCAAUGAGACAUCACCUAGCUUCCCAAAAGCUGAAAGUAAAGGUAUAUCACCAGUUGUUUCUGAACAUAGAAAACAGAUUGAUGAUUUAAAGAAAUUUAAGAAUGAUUUUAGGUUACAGCCAAGUUCUGCUUCUGAAUCUGUGGAUCAACUGCUAAACAAAAGUAGAGAGGGAGAAAAAUCAAGAGAUGUGAUCAAAGACAAAAUUGAACCAAAUGCUAAGGAUUCUUUCAUUGAAAAUAGCAGCAACUGCACCAGUGGCAGCAGCAAGCCGAGCAGCCCCAGCAUUUCCCCUUCAAUCCUCAGUAACACGGAGCACAAGAGAGGACCUGAGGUCACAUCUCAGGGGGUUCAAACUUCCAGUCCAGGGUGUAAACAAGAGAAAGAUGAUAAAGAGGAGACGAAAGAUGCAGCUGAGCAAGUGAGGAAAUCAACAUUGAAUCCCAACGCGAAGGAGUUCAACCCUCGUUCCUUUUCUCAGCCAAAGCCUUCUACCACCCCAACCUCACCUCGUCCUCAAGCACAACCUAGCCCAUCUAUGGUGGGUCAUCAGCAGCCAACUCCAGUUUAUACUCAACCUGUUUGUUUUGCACCAAAUAUGAUGUAUCCAGUCCCAGUGAGCCCAGGUGUGCAACCUUUAUAUCCUAUACCUAUGACGCCCAUGCCAGUGAAUCAAGCCAAGACAUAUAGAGCAGGUAAAGUACCAAAUAUACCCCAACAACGGCAAGACCAGCAUCAUCAGAGCACCAUGAUGCAUCCAGCCUCAGCAGCAGGUCCACCAAUUGUUGCCACCCCACCAGCUUAUUCCACACAAUAUGUUGCCUAUAGUCCUCAGCAGUUUCCAAAUCAACCUCUUGUUCAGCAUGUGCCACAUUAUCAGUCUCAGCAUCCUCAUGUCUAUAGUCCUGUAAUACAGGGUAAUGCUAGAAUGAUGGCACCACCAACACAUGCCCAGCCUGGUUUAGUAUCUUCUUCAGCAACUCAGUACGGGGCUCAUGAGCAGACACAUGCGAUGUAUGCAUGUCCUAAAUUACCAUACAACAAGGAGACAAGCCCUUCUUUCUACUUUGCCAUUUCCACUGGCUCCCUUGCUCAACAGUAUGCGCACCCUAAUGCUACCCUGCACCCACAUACUCCACAUCCUCAGCCUUCAGCUACUCCCACUGGACAGCAGCAGAACCAGCAUGGUGGAAGCCAUCCUGCACCCAGUCCUGUUCAGCACCAUCAGCACCAGGCUGCCCAGGCUCUCCAUCUGGCCAGUCCACAACAGCAGUCAGCCAUUUACCAUGCAGGGCUCGCUCCAACCCCACCUUCCAUGACACCUGCCUCCAAUACGCAGUCGCCACAGAAUAGCUUCCCAACAGCACAACAGACUGUCUUCACGAUCCAUCCUUCUCAUGUUCAGCCGGCAUACACCAAUCCACCCCACAUGGCCCAUGUACCUCAGUUCUGGUUCAAGGUAUCUCUAGAAAAAGACAAGACUGAGAUAUUCUGUUGGUGGAUAGAGGUCUGCUUCAGAAGGAGAAAGGCUGGCCAGAGUUGGGCAGCACUGAAAUUCCACGUCCUCAGCCUGCCACUGAUUCUAAAUGAUCAAAGGCAGAAGAUUUAUACCAGAUAAAGCCAUAUGGAUUGCUGGUCUAAAAUUCAAGGCAGGUUAGUUGACUUAAUUCUUUGGUGCUGGUGACUGUUAGUUUGUAAAAGUUCAUUAAAGUCGGAUGAAGGAAGGGAUGAUGAUGGGAGCAGUCAAAGCUGUCCUUGUCUGUAACUAGAGAUAACCAGAGGGCUUACUGUCCUUUGGCACUCAGAGCCUGGGCUCUCAGUGGAGGCUGCUGGCUUGGCUUCUUGCUGCCAGCAGUGGUCACACUGGGACUGGAAGGAGGGUGGGGGAAUGUGCUAUGACUGUGGUGGGCUGAUUGCAGCCAUCAGGGUAGCUGCCUCACUGCCUGUGAGGAUAUCAAGCCUAGGAACCCAUUGCUCCCCCCACCUCCAGCUCUGCUCUAGCAGAAGGCAUUGGCUUAGUGUCACUUCUUCCCAGGCCAUGAGGGAGCUUUUUGUCAGAAGGUAUUUGAGCUGUCCUGGUAACUCAAACACAUUUAGAAAUGUUUUUCUUCUCUGUGAACAUUUUACACUGAAGCAAUCUGGAAGUUGUUGACUCGGUCACAGAGUUUGAGCUUGCACUUUGUAGCCAGUAGGACAGAGGUGCUUGCUUGCUGUGCCUGGCUUGCCUCUCCGCACUACCUGAGAACUCGAUGACAAGAGGCUAAGAAGUGAGUGCCGCUGUGGCUUGAGGAGGUCAUAUCCCAGAUGUUUGUUUACCCUUCUGAGGGGAGGGAGGGAACUUACUUAUUUGAUUCAUUGUCUACCUCGCCCUUUGCCUGUGCAGACAAGGGGAAAAACUAUACCAGUGAUAAGUCAGCAUUGACUUUCUUUGAGAAAUCCAAAAUAGUGCUUACUCCUGGCUCACAUUUUGCUUUUAGCAUUCCUUAUUCACAGAGACCUACUUGAUAUGUGGACAGUGAAGGAAAGACAGGUGACCCCAAUGCAGAUCAGGGUUGGAUCUGCUUUACCAUCUCUGAAAACAUCCAGGAGUGUGGGUUUUAAAGUGAUGGGAGGGAGAGGUGGCUGCUGACCUUCUUGCCCCUCCUAAAGCCUGACCUCUCACCUCUUAGUGUACAGAGAAUGAAUGGCUGGAGGGAACAGACCAAACCCUCACCCCAGAAAUAGGCAGUUUAGUUCAGGCCAAGGUUUAAAUUUAGCCUUUGAUUGAAGUAUCUAUAAAUGUUAAGCUGUGCUGAACUCUUGGUUUCCUAGAAGCCACUUUGGUCAGCCUGGCGGCUGUACUGAAUGGCUCUGCUGGCACCCAGGAGCAGCUGACUCCAUUGGGUCACUGCUUCCCUUGUUUCCAAGCCUCUGCAUGAAAGUUCUGGGAGGAGCCAGCCUCCUAUCAAUUGUAUCAUUUGUGAAAGGCAAGUAUAGAUGGAGAUCCAACUGCAGAACCUCCCUGGAUGUUGAGGGUAUGUGUGCCUAUGUAUGUAUACACGCACACACGUUCUUCAUCACAUGAGGCAGUAACCAGCUAGAACAGAACAGUAAUUGCGAGCUGUUAAAGGAUUUUCUCAUUAGCUGUGGCACCAGAUUCCCAGCUUCCAUUUUGGCUCAAGAAUGAGCUUAAAACUUUGUGGGAUAAUUUAAUACACUUUCAGAUGCUUGGAGGCUCUGAGCCAGCCCUGUUGGCCAAGAGUUUACUAGGAAGGGCCCAGCAGCCCUUCUUUCCUUUUUGCUUGCCCCUUCCUUACCUCUCAGUUUAACUCUCGCUGUAAAGCUACUAUAAACCAGAAUCGUUUUUUAUUCAUAAGGCACCAGGGUGGAACUAUUCCUUGCCACCCUCCUAUUUCAGUAAUUGCCUGAAUUUCCCUGAAAGAGUGACACGCUUUUUACUUCUCUACAUUUAGGAAGGACAGUGGCUUCUCAGGAACAGGUGACUGUUCUUUGGAGGCAUACUAGACAAGGAAGCCAGUCAAGGAAGGUUUGCAUAGCUAUCUCUGACUACAAAAAUCGCAUGGGUAUUAAUUCAGACAGUGCAAUGAAAUAAGCAAUGGUUUAAUUUUUGAAACCUGAAUCCUUUGAAAAGUUAAUUUGAGGUAAAAAUGUUUAAAAUCAUUUUGAUAUUUAGCUUGUCCAUCUGCCAGAGCUUUGUCCUAAAACCGAGUCAAAGCAGGAUAAGUGUGGUCACCUGUGGCAUGGGUACAUCAGACCUGCCACGUGGACUGAAGCUACAAUGGGAAACCUAUAGGAGAAGCCAGGGCUUGUUAGUGUUUUGGGCUUCCUGAUGCCCCCCACCCAAAGUAGAAAGUCUGUCAGCUGUGACAGUGUCAGUGAAAAAUAGAACAAGUUUCCACUGCCAACUCGGGCCCUCACCCUACUACCUCCUCCAAAACUGAUGGGGACUGGUCCUGGGAACCCCGGGCAGGAGCUGGUGGCAUCCGUGAACAAGAACUACAUCUGUAAACAAUAGGAGACAGUCAAGUGAGAAUGAAACUUAUAGGAGGCCCUUUAACAGGCCUAAUAGAAGGGUCACAUCCAAACUGGAAUCAACAGUUAACAGUGUCCCUUAAAUCUCUCUCUGGAAGGAAGGAAAGAAAAUUACAUUCACAAGUUCAUGUCUCUGCUUGCUUAUGUUCCUCUGGGGCAUCUGGGAUUCCUCCCAGCCUGUCAGAGAGGUGUGUACUGAUUGUCUAUGGCCCGCAGGUGGCUCCGGGAGGAGGAGUCCAUUUCAUAGUCUGAGUCCCGGGCUCGACUGGCAGGCUCAGGCUCCAGGUGCCUCAGGCUGCUGGCCAGUUCCUCAGGCGAAGGCACCAGGUGGAAGAUCUGCUCUGGGGGAGAGGAUCGGCCUGGGAGACCCUCUGGGCCGAGCCCCCUCGGACAGCCAGAAGCACUAAGGUGGGGAAGGCCCAGCUCUGAAUCCCAGCGAGAGAGGGAGAAAGGGAACAGGACGGCAUUGGAGGAACCUGGGGGGAAAAGUGACCAAGAGAGAAACCACUGUCAGUCUUAACAGAGCAGGACCAAGUGUUGGAAAGACACAAAAUGAGGUCUCUGCCUCCCUGAGUUUGCAGUGAGCUUUCACCCUCUACCCGGUUGCCAGUGCCACCGCCCCAUUUACCAAGGGGCAUUAGGGUCACACCUGGUGGCUGGGAGACAACUACCACGUAGCUGGAUAGCCGGACGUCACAGGCGGCACCGCACUCGAGUGGGAUGGGUGAACGCUGGAAGUGGUGGAGCAUGUGCAUGACCGAGGGGAAGUGGAGGUGUUGUACUCGGCACUGGCCCCGCUCAGUCAGUGACAGGCGCAGGUGCUGCAGGAAGAGGAUGGCCGGGGCUCAGGCAUUGACCCCUAAGGGCCUUGAAAAUGAAGAGGGUGAAGCCCUCCACCCCACCUCACCCUGUACCUUGGCUAUGCCCUGGAAGUUGAAUGUGAGCACAUAUUCCCCACGCCUCGUCUCACUCUGCCGGACCAGGAACACUCCGUGAGCAUCAGGACCCUGCAGCUGAACCAGCUGUGCUGCCUUCACCCGGGAGAUGGGGCCAUGGAACCAGGGGUAGCAGGACAGGAAAUGAUCUGUUUUCUGGCAGGCUGGGUCUAGCAACCCCCCAGGAGAAGCACCUGGCAGAAAAGAAGUUACGUGGUGGUGACCCUUUGUUGGGUACCUUAUGUCCUGGGCUAGGGCUGGGAUCCAACGUUACUGGAGGAAAAAGGCCCUGACCCCCUCACCUUGGUUCAGGGAAUCUGUGCUUCCCCUUGGAGAGUUAAACGUGCUGGGCUCUAAGGCUGAGGAUAUGUGCGUCUCUGGGUCUGUGUUCUCCAGUCUGCUGGAGAAGAGUCUGGGGUUAAGGAUCUGGGUAGGUCAGAAGUAGCAGUAAAAGCUGCGCCAGGAGGGGGGCCCUAGGGUCUGGGGCCUCACCCUUGGCCUGUGCACUCCCGAAGCUCAGCCAUCCAUGAAUUCAGCUGCUGCUCAUCUCCAACCUCAAAGAUGAUGUCUGUCCGGUCCUUCACCUGGCAAGGAGAAAGGAACAGCUAUGUGAGACCCUCAAGGUCUGUCUAUACCGCACUCUCCUUCCCCCCACCCUGAGUGUGGAAAGCUGUCUCUCACCUUCAGCACAAAGGUGUAGAGGUUGUCGGGCAUCUCGAGACGUGUGCAUCGCCGAAUCUCCUGGAUGCUAGAACAGGCUGCUUGUAGCUUGGGCUUUGAACUCUAGGAGACCAAGGGAGACAUUCAAGGCUUGUCCCACUGACCCUUUGAUCACCCAGGCCUCUGCUCUUUUCCGCAGUCUCUCCAGGGGCCUAGCUUGCUGAGCACAUGUGAGUGAUGCAUGGAGUGGUGCGAGCUCAGGUACCCUGGGGAUGGAGUGGGUGCCCGCGUUCUCGCUUGCAGAAGGUGUACUCGCACGCGCGCGCGCACACACACACACACACUGAGCUCCCCAGAAACAUUUGGGCUAAGGGCCAAUCUCGGCUUCACCUAGAUCUGUAGACAUUCCAGCUCUGACAGGUAUUUGCUGGCUGAAAUCUUUCUCUUCCCACUGGGGGAGCAAAACUCCCCAAUCCCUAACCUGGCCAGUCACACUGGCUGCUGACUCCUUCAUCCCAGCAAACCCAGAGAGCAGACAUGAGGCUAUCCAACCCCAGGUCCCUCUGUGGUGCUGGCUGACUGCCAGGGGCCCCAGGCCUUUACCUUGCCUUUAGCUCCACUCCUCCCCUCCACUGGCUGUCCACUAGCACAGGUCUCUCCCAGCCUAACAGCAGCCCUAGGAAGCAGAUACUAUCACCGCAACUUAAAAAGAAGAAACUUGGAGUUCUUAUUGUGGCUUAGUGGGUUAAGAACCCCACCCUGUCUCCUUGAGGAUGUGGGUUCGAUCCCUGGCCUUGCCCAGUGGGUUAAGGAUCCAGCACUGCCGCAAACUGUGGCAUAGGUUGUAGAUGUAGCUUGGAUCCAGUGUUGCUGUGGUCAUGGCAUAGGUCGGCAGCUGCAGCUCCAAUGCGACUCCUAGCCUAGGACCUUCCAUAUGCCACCGGUGUGGCCCUAAAAAGAAUAAAAAUGAAAAGAAGAAACUGAAAUUUUGAAAGUGAAGUCAUUUGCCUGAGGAAGUGGACCUCUCUCCACAGAGCCUAGAAUCUCAAGCUCCCAAACACACCUAACUAACCUGUUUUGCCUUCAGGUGUUAGGACCAGCAGACAUGGAUUUGGCUGUGGGGUGGGGAUUGGCAGAGCAGCUUAGCUUAUGGACUCGGUGUUUCUGCCAGUGUGCCCUUUUGUCUGGCUUGGCUGGCCCCAGUUACAACCAGCUGGAAAGCCACACAAAACCUUGGGCUCUGGAGCCUCCCACAACAUACAGCACACACAGGGCUCAGAGUGGGUCGGGGUGACCCUCUACCCUUUUACCAGCAAAAGGCUCCUGACUGAACCUGGCUGGAGCAUGGGCUGACCCUGCAGAUGUCUGUUCCAGGGUGCAGGAAGUUUUUGCAGAAAGGAGAUCACACUUUACCACCCCCAUCUCCACAUCCUCUUGUGAUAAGGCUGAUGAGAUUGUUUCCCUGGGAUCAGGAGAUGAUUGAUGGCUUCCAGCAGAGACCAAAAGAAGAUGAACAUGGAGGAAGGAGCAAGAUGCGGCGAGUGGACAGAGGAGACCCAACUCCAAUGGGGCCCUUCUCCCUCUAACAGCUCUUUUCCUUGGAGCCAGGAGACAGCAAGGUGCCCCUGGAAAGUGCCACAACCCCCGCCUGCCAAGCCAGCACCAGAUGGGGAGAGGGAACAAAAGGUUGAUAUGGUGAAUGGGUGAACUUUUGCAAGUGAAAGAAAUGCCUGACUGAUAAACAGCUGUUGUUAAAUUUCCAGGCUGGGGUCUGAGGCCAGCCAAGAUGGGGAAAGCCUGCUAGGGUCCACUACAGUGUUGCAGUGCUCCUGUGUCACUUCAGCGAAAUUGACACAUAAUAGAACCUACCUGCAUACAUACCUUAAGUAAGAUAAGAGGGAAGUAAUGGAAUGUAAUUGAUGUUAAAAUAAAAUGUAUUUCGGUGUGACUAUAUAUAGCACAAUGAACUA